Molecule: small nuclear RNA, 160 nt
Organism: Arvicola amphibius (Eurasian water vole)
Lineage: Eukaryota; Metazoa; Chordata; Mammalia; Rodentia; Cricetidae
Product: U1 spliceosomal RNA
Exons: 1
Source: RefSeq, a predicted model, not a curated record
UUAAUUACCUGGCAAGGAAGUCAUGCUAAUGCAGGUGGGUUCCCGGGGCAAGGCUCACCCAUUGUACCGGGAUGUGCUGACCCCUAUGAUUUCCACAAAUGUGGGAAGCUCAGCUGCAUAAUUUGUAUUAGUGUGUGGGGGGGGGCUGCUUUCAUACUCC